GUGCUUGCUUCGGCAGCACGGAUACUAAAAUUGGAAUGAUACAGAGCAGAUCAGCAUGGCCCGUGCACAAGGAUGGCGUGCAAAUCCACGAAGCGUUCCAUGUGCUC
Small nuclear RNA from Arvicanthis niloticus (Nile rat), 107 nucleotides. Lineage: Eukaryota; Metazoa; Chordata; Mammalia; Rodentia; Muridae. The record is from RefSeq and is a predicted model, not a curated record.